This 253-nucleotide ribosomal RNA is filed under the name uncultured bacterium. Its description in RNAcentral is "partial 16S ribosomal RNA". It matches the Rfam family "Bacterial small subunit ribosomal RNA", at positions 524 to 776 of the family's 1533-position model. The record is from RNAcentral.
UACGUAGGGUGCGAGCGUUAAUCGGAAUUACUGGGCGUAAAGUGUGCGCAGGCGGCGUUGCAAGUCGAGUGUGAAAGCCCCGGGCUUAACUUGGGAAUUGCGCUCGAAACUACGACGCUGGAGUGUGGCAGAGGAAGGUGGAAUUCCACGUGUAGCGGUGAAAUGCGUAGAGAUGUGGAGGAACACCGAUGGCGAAGGCAGCCUUCUGGGCCAACACUGACGCUCAUGCACGAAAGCGUGGGGAGCAAACAGG